CCCAGGCUGUGCUAUAUCAUAGCUUACUGUAACCUUGAACUCCUGGCCUCAAGCGAUCCUCCUGCCUCAACCUCCCAAGUAGCUGGGACUGCAGGCCUGCAACAGCACCUGGCCCAGCCACUGACUGUCUUAUGUCAUAUAGCAAUGAUCACUAAGGUAAAGUCUAUACAAACUGUAGAAUAGUUGUCAUUCUUUACCCAACCUGGGGACACAAGUUAAAAACCUAGUAUUUUUUUUUUUUUUUCUGUACCAAAACAAUCAUCUUCCUUUAUUUUCCCUGGAGCGGGAAGAGGAGAGUGGAGAGGAAGGGAGGAAUGCAAGGUGUCACUUUGAACUUCUCGUUCACCACACACGUGGGAUUCCACUCUCAUGUCAUCAGCCUCCAUGCACAGGCCCCAGGUGAAAGAAACAGAGUUCUAGUUGGACCAGCUAACACUGCCUGCCUUGUGUUUAUAAAAGGCACCUGCCUCUGUGGUGUGAUUUCAGGGGAGCCAGACGGAGCUGGGGCCAUGAACCUGUAUCCUGCAUCCUAACCACUUAUCCAUGCAUGAGGCUAACUGGAAACUCACUUGCUGGGUACAGAUAGCUUCUGUGAUGCUCAUGCUUGACUUCCAAAGGAACAUGUUUCAGGAAAGGCAAUUGCCUUCAUUAUGGUCUUUGAUAAGCAGGAAGAAGUUUGUUGUUCCUUUUUUUUCUUAAUGUCCUACUUUGUGCAACAUACAUCCAAUCAGUCAUAUCCUAUUGACACUACCCCUAAAUAUCUGUGGGCCUGGCCUAUGCCCAGGGCACUGCCUUCAUUCAGUUAUUGCACUUGCCUGCUGCCUGUGCUCCUGGUCUCCUGUUUGGACUCCCUCAGGUCAGCAGCCACACUACUGCCAAAAUUCAGUAGAAAAUUAACUUCAGGUAAAGCACAAUUCCAAACCUAACACUGCCCCCUCAAAAGCCUCUCUGUAACCUUCAGAAUAAAGGCCAUAUUAUUUGACAAGACA
This is a long non-coding RNA of Cercocebus atys (sooty mangabey), 989 nucleotides long. RefSeq lists it as uncharacterized. The transcript has 2 exons. The record is from RefSeq and is a predicted model, not a curated record. NCBI's taxonomy places the organism in Eukaryota, Metazoa, Chordata, Mammalia, Primates, Cercopithecidae.